Molecule: ribosomal RNA, 407 nt
Filed under: uncultured bacterium
Lineage: Bacteria
Description: partial 16S ribosomal RNA
Rfam family: Bacterial small subunit ribosomal RNA
Source: RNAcentral
AUUGAACGCUGGCGGCAGGCCUAACACAUGCAAGUCGAGCGGAGCGGCGGACGGGUGAGUAAUGCCUAGGAAUCUGCCUGGUAGUGGGGGAUAACGUCCGGAAAGGGGAGCUAAUACAGCAUAAUAUCAGAUGAGCCUAGGCCGGAGUAGCUAGUUGGUGGGGUAAAGGCCUACCAAGGCGACGCACCGUAACUGGUCUGAGAGGAUGAUCAGUCACACUGGACCUGAGACACGGUCCAGACUCCUACGGUAGGCAGCAGGGGGGAAUAUUGGACAAUGGUCGAAAGCCUGAUCCAGCCAUGCCGCGUGUGUGAAGAAGGUCUUCGGAUUGUAAAGCACUUUAAGUUGGGAGGCGUUACCAACAGAAUAAGCACCGGCUAACUUCGUGCCAGCAGCCGCGGUAAUUC